This 467-nucleotide ribosomal RNA is filed under the name uncultured bacterium. RNAcentral describes it as "partial 16S ribosomal RNA". It matches the Rfam family "Bacterial small subunit ribosomal RNA", at positions 29 to 507 of the family's 1533-position model. The record is from RNAcentral.
ACGAACGCCGGCGGCGUGCUUAACACAUGCAAGUCGAACGGAAAGGCCCUGCUAUUGUGGGGUGCUCGAGUGGCGAACGGGUGAGUAACACGUGAGUAACCUGCCCUUGACUUUGGGAUAACUUCAGGAAACUGGGGCUAAUACCGGAUAGGAGCUCCUGCUGCAUGGUGGGGGUUGGAAAGUUUCGGCGGUUGGGGAUGGACUCGGGGCUUAUCAGCUUGUUGGUGGGGUAGUGGCUUACCAAGGCUUUGACGGGUAGCCGGCCUGAGAGGGUGACCGGCCACAUUGGGACUGAGAUACGGCCCAGACUCCUACGGGAGGCAGCAGUGGGGAAUAUUGCACAAUGGGCGGAAGCCUGAUGCAGCAACGCCGCGUGCGGGAUGACGGCCUUCGGGUUGUAAACCGCUUUCGCCUGUGACGAAGCGUGAGUGACGGUAAUGGGUAAAGAAGCACCGGCUAACUACGUG